This is a ribosomal RNA of 845 nucleotides. It matches the Rfam family "Eukaryotic large subunit ribosomal RNA", at positions 74 to 938 of the family's 3401-position model.
AUUGCCUCAGUAACGGCGAGUGAAGCGGCAACAGCUCAAAUUUGAAAUCUGGCCCCCUCAGGGUCCGAGUUGUAAUUUGGAGAAGAUGCUUCGGGUGCGGCGCCGGUCUAAGUUCCUUGGAACAGGACGUCACAGAGGGUGAGAAUCCCGUACGUGCCCGGUGGCCGCCCUAUGUGAAGCUCUUUCGACGAGUCGAGUUGUUUGGGAAUGCAGCUCAAAAUGGGUGGUAAAUUUCAUCUAAAGCUAAAUACUGGCCAGAGACCGAUAGCGCACAAGUAGAGUGAUCGAAAGAUGAAAAGCACUUUGGAAAGAGAGUUAAACAGUACGUGAAAUUGUUGAAAGGGAAGCGCUUGCAACCAGACUUGCGCGCGGUCGAUCAUCCGGUGCUCGCACCGGUGCACUCGGCCGCGCGCAGGCCAGCAUCGGCCUGGGUGGCUGGACAAAGGCCUCGGGAAUGUGGCUCCCUCCGGGGAGUGUUAUAGCCCGAGGCGCAAUGCAGCCCACCUGGACCGAGGACCGCGCUCCGGCUAGGAUGCUGGCGUAAUGGUUGCAAGCGACCCGUCUUGAAACACGGACCAAGGAGUCUAACAUCUAUGCGAGUGUUUGGGUGUCAAACCCAUACGCGUAAUGAAAGUGAACGGAGGUGAGAACCCUGAAGGGCGCAUCAUCGACCGAUCCUGAUGUCUUCGGAUGGAUUUGAGUAAGAGCAUAGCUGUUGGGACCCGAAAGAUGGUGAACUAUGCCUGAAUAGGGUGAAGCCAGAGGAAACUCUGGUGGAGGCUCGCAGCGGUUCUGACGUGCAAAUCGAUCGUCAAAUUUGGGCAUAGGGGCGAAAGACUAAUCGA